Molecule: non-coding RNA, 22 nt
Filed under: Arabidopsis thaliana (thale cress)
Lineage: Eukaryota; Viridiplantae; Streptophyta; Magnoliopsida; Brassicales; Brassicaceae
Source: RNAcentral
UGAAUUAUAAUUACCACCGAGC